AAAAUUGCAUUUCAUCAAAGUAACUCUAAAUACUCCAUACACCAAAUUCAAAUGCUCGAAUGGCGCUGACAAUUCGACAGUCAAAGAAAUUUCUUUCACUAUUAAAGAAUUAGACAACGACCCAUUGUCUAAUUCAAUUAUCCUGGAAAAAGGAGUCGGCCAAAAUUUGAUCUGCAACCGACUGUCGCAACAUGUGCCCAUUCAUUGGCUCAAGGAUGGCGUGCACUACUCCGACUCGGUCUAUGAAAACGAAACCGCGUCUAUUGUGCAACUGCAAGGAAAAGAAACGGAAGAGGGAAUCUACGAAUGUAG
Daphnia pulicaria is the source of this 312-nucleotide long non-coding RNA. RefSeq lists it as uncharacterized. Lineage: Eukaryota; Metazoa; Arthropoda; Branchiopoda; Diplostraca; Daphniidae. The transcript is spliced from 3 exons. The record is from RefSeq and is a predicted model, not a curated record.